This 222-nucleotide ribosomal RNA is filed under the name uncultured bacterium. Its description in RNAcentral is "partial 16S ribosomal RNA". It matches the Rfam family "Bacterial small subunit ribosomal RNA", at positions 109 to 334 of the family's 1533-position model. The record is from RNAcentral.
AGUAAUGUCUGGGAAACUGCCUGAUGGAGGGGGAUAACUACUGGAGACGGUAGCUAAUACCGCAUAACGUCGCAAGACCAAAGUGGGGGACCUUCGGGCCUCAUGCCAUAAGAUGUGCCCAGAUGGGAUUAGCUAGUAGGUGGGGUAACGGCUCACCUAGGCGACGAUCCCUAGCUGGUCUGAGAGGAUGACCAGCCACACUGGAACUGAGACACGGUCCAG